AGCGGCCAUACCAUGCUGAAAACAACGCUUCUCUUCCGCCCACCGAAGUUAAGCAUCAUCUGGCGCUGUCAGUACUUGGGAGGGUGUCUACCUGGGAACAUCGCGUGCCGUU
Molecule: non-coding RNA, 112 nt
Organism: Nephila pilipes (giant wood spider)
Lineage: Eukaryota; Metazoa; Arthropoda; Arachnida; Araneae; Nephilidae
Source: the annotation of a GenBank genome assembly